AUGUCCCACAAUCAGUGUUUACAGGUAGGCCUAACUGGAAUCUGAGCCUGUGCAUUGAAUAACCCGAAAAGCAAACACAUGCAUUACUGUCAACAUGCAGUAGCACUGAGCACUACAAAGAAGUUGCUUAUUUGGAUACAAAGACCAAUCCUAAGCCAGCUUUUGUUUCAGUUGGAAAUUGCCCGCUCAAAUUAACGCUUUCACAAACAAUGCAUCAUUUGGGUCAUCAUUUCGCUGUGUGAUACGAUCAGGGAAGCAAGUCUGAAGUUCUUCUACUGAAAGCCUGUAUCUUUUGCCUGUUUUCUAGAAUCAGUCGAACCAUAUCGAAAAAUUCAAAUUAUCUACAGAGAUGGGUCGUCUACAGAAUAAAGAAAUAUCGCAUAUGCCGAUCAUUGAAAAUGGGUUCGCAAAAACGUCUAACUCAUCGAUUAAAUUUGGGAAUGGCAAGAAGAAGCAUACCAAUCAUCUAUAGACGAUAGAGGUCUGGGAGGAAGAGAAGUUAAGCAUUCUAGAAGCAAUGACAUAAGCAGUGGACCCAUCCUUGGCAACAACAUGACUUCUUCAGCAUGUUCAUGGAAAUUUAAUGAUCUCUUUGUGUCACCAGAACUGAGGUUAGUUAAAUUUCUAUGUG
Molecule: long non-coding RNA, 631 nt
Filed under: Lytechinus variegatus (green sea urchin)
Lineage: Eukaryota; Metazoa; Echinodermata; Echinoidea; Temnopleuroida; Toxopneustidae
Description: uncharacterized LOC121409440
Source: RNAcentral